AAACCAGAAGAGAAGAGAAACCAAGGAAGAACAAACCCUAGGUGGGAAAAAUCAAAGAGAAAGUGUUGGAAUUCAAGGAUUUGAUCAAGCAAAGGUAAAAUUUCUUUGAUUUUGCUAGUGAUUUACCUUACCCGUGCAUUUCUCCUUAUUUGCCAUGGUUAAAUUACAUGUUUUCAUGAUGAAUUCAUGGCUGGUCAAAAUGGGUAAGGAGAGAGAAAGAUGUUGGAUUGAUUUGAUUUUAAGAUAUGUUAGUGUUUUUAGUUAGUUUAGCAUAUUUAAAAGCAAAACAACAAGAAAGGAAUCCAUUUUUCCCAUGAAUCUUCAUGGCCAAAUCUUCCUUGAUGUGUGUGGGUGAUGGAUUGUUAUUAUUUCAAGAGAAAUGGCUUAGAUAAUGAUGAAUAAUGGUGAGAAAAUUAAGUAGGAAAAAGCACGGUGUUAGUGCACUGUAAUGGUCGAAUUUUUCCAUGAAGAAAUGGGAAACUUUUGAUGCUGAAAUUGGUGUUAUUUGAAUAAUGUUUGGUGAAUUGAGGUAUUAGAAAUGAAAUGGAGCAAUUUGGAGCCAAAUCGGACACAAUUGUCAUUUAAUCGGGUAAUAGGCCGAAUUAGGUCAGCACCGCAUUUAAGAGAUAGUCAGAUAAGUUGCAUAUCAUAUCAUGCAUAUUGUAAAACCUGACCCUAUAAACACAUGUCAUGACAUACAUGUACUGAGUAGCAUGUUAUUACGCUAGGAAAGUCCCUAAAAUAGACGAAACUCGAUAUUGUACCUAACGGUACACUUGAGUUGAUUUAACCUCGAACUAGUUCAAAUAGGAAUCGUAGGAUGAAAUUUAAUAUUUUACAGUCCAGGAAUGACUAAAAAUGAUUGUUCGGAGUUCGAGGGUUCAUUUGGGAAAAAAUUAAAAAUUUUGAUGUUCAGGGGUAAAAUCGUCAUUUUGCCACUUAAGAUAAUAAUUUGAUCAUGGAGUGAAAUUUUUGACCAAGAUUAACUAUUUGGAGUAUAAUUUAAUGAUAGAAAAUGAAAACAUUUCAAUUUCGGUAAUUUUCGAAACAUAGGGGCAAAACGGUAAUUUUAUCGCCUCGGGGUAAAAAAUCGUAAUUUUCACCACCCAAAACUUGUCAAAAUCAUAGGAUUUACUUAUUUUUGGUAUGAAUAACUAUGGUAUGUUAAGUGGUGAAAUUGAAGUUUAAAGGACGAAAUUUUAAAAACCGACCAAUGAGAAAGUGACACAUGGCACUUUUUAAUUGUUUAAUAUUAUUUUAAAGGAAAAUCAGCCCAUUUAAACCCCACAUCAGGUGAUGGCCGGCUAUAAGGAGAGAACAAGAGAGAAAAUAGAGAGGAAAGGAAGAAAAGAGAAAAACCAAAGGAAAACUAGAAAAUUCAAAGGGGAAAUCGCGUUUUUUGUCCGUUUACGCGUCUAACGGUAAGAUUUUUUGACUUUAGCUUGAUUUCUAACUUUCUUAUGCCUUUGUUUCCAUUUAGCAUGCUUGAGGAGAGAGAUCAAGAAGUGAUACCAAGGGCUGGCCGAAUUUCAAGGGGGAGAAAUUUGAAAUUCUUAUGUUUUGAUUUUUAGUUAAAUUGAUAGUUUUAGUUAGUUAAAUGUGUAUAGAAAUCAAAUUGGGC
Molecule: long non-coding RNA, 1621 nt
Filed under: Theobroma cacao (cacao)
Lineage: Eukaryota; Viridiplantae; Streptophyta; Magnoliopsida; Malvales; Malvaceae
Description: long non-coding RNA (TCAC_LNC003976)
Source: RNAcentral